CAAGACGAGCAUAAUAAUAGUAAAAAGUCGCAACUACUCAAACAGAUACUGAGCAUCAACCAUCCGAAAUUGUAAUAGUUCACAAAACUUGAUUCAACAUCCCAAUUUAAAAACGCAAGAAAAUCCCAACACAUAGUUUUAGACGACGACAGCAGAAACAGAAACAGUAAACUAAACCAACACUUGAACACAAGAGGAACUCCUCAUUUCUUCUUGGCAGCAGACUUGGUGACCUUGGCACCGGAUGGGUCCUUCUUCUCC
Molecule: long non-coding RNA, 261 nt
Filed under: Linum usitatissimum (flax)
Lineage: Eukaryota; Viridiplantae; Streptophyta; Magnoliopsida; Malpighiales; Linaceae
Description: long non-coding RNA (LUSI_LNC006867)
Source: RNAcentral